AGAGUUUGAUCCUGGCUCAGAUUGAACGCUGGCGGCAUGCCUUACACAUGCAAGUCGAACGGCAGCACGGGGGCAACCCUGGUGGCGAGUGGCGAACGGGUGAGUAAUAUAUCGGAACGUGCCCUGGAGUGGGGGAUAACUAGUCGAAAGACUAGCUAAUACCGCAUACGAUCUAUGGAUGAAAGUGGGGGAUCGCAAGACCUCAUGCUCGUGGAGCGGCCGAUAUCUGAUUAGCUAGUUGGUAGGGUAAAAGCCUACCAAGGCAUCGAUCAGUAGCUGGUCUGAGAGGACGACCAGCCACACUGGGACUGAGACACGGCCCAGACUCCUACGGGAGGCAGCAGUGGGGAAUUUUGGACAAUGGGGGCAACCCUGAUCCAGCAAUGCCGCGUGAGUGAAGAAGGCCUUCGGGUUGUAAAGCUCUUUUGUCAGGGAAGAAACGGUUCGGGCUAAUAUCCUGGGCUAAUGACGGUACCUGAAGAAUAAGCACCGGCUAACUACGUGCCAGCAGCCGCGGUAAUACGUAGGGUGCAAGCGUUAAUCGGAAUUACUGGGCGUAAAGCGUGCGCAGGCGGUUGUGCAAGACAGAUGUGAAAUCCCCGGGCUUAACCUGGGAAUUGCAUUUGUGACUGCACGGCUAGAGUGUGU
Molecule: ribosomal RNA, 648 nt
Filed under: uncultured beta proteobacterium
Lineage: Bacteria; Pseudomonadati; Pseudomonadota; Betaproteobacteria
Description: bacterial SSU rRNA
Rfam family: Bacterial small subunit ribosomal RNA
Source: RNAcentral